GGAGACGUGGCCGUGUGGACUAAGGCGCCGCACUGCUGACGCGGAGUGCCUUCGAAAGGCACCAUCCGUUCGAAUCGGAUCGUUUCCGCCA
Molecule: transfer RNA, 91 nt
Filed under: Occallatibacter sp.
Lineage: Bacteria; Pseudomonadati; Acidobacteriota; Terriglobia; Terriglobales; Acidobacteriaceae
Description: tRNA-Ser
Rfam family: tRNA
About the family: Transfer RNA (tRNA) molecules are approximately 80 nucleotides in length. Their secondary structure includes four short double-helical elements and three loops (D, anti-codon, and T loops). Further hydrogen bonds mediate the characteristic L-shaped molecular structure. tRNAs have two regions of fundamental functional importance: the anti-codon, which is responsible for specific mRNA codon recognition, and the 3' end, to which the tRNAs corresponding amino acid is attached (by aminoacyl-tRNA synthetases). tRNAs cope with the degeneracy of the genetic code in two manners: having more than one tRNA (with a specific anti-codon) for a particular amino acid; and 'wobble' base-pairing, i.e. permitting non-standard base-pairing at the 3rd anti-codon position.
Source: RNAcentral